This is a long non-coding RNA of Notothenia coriiceps (black rockcod), 378 nucleotides long. RefSeq lists it as uncharacterized. The record is from RefSeq and is a predicted model, not a curated record. The transcript is spliced from 3 exons. Lineage: Eukaryota; Metazoa; Chordata; Actinopteri; Perciformes; Nototheniidae.
UUCCUGUAUUUUGUCCCCUCCCGGGUCUCCGUAGUGGCGGUUUAUGUCGGCUGCUGGCGGAUCAGAAAAACAAAGCAACUUCCAGCUUUAAUUCACAUCUAACGACGCUGCCAUGGAGGAGGUGACCCGCCUGGUGUCCACAGGAGACUGUGUGAGGAUCUGGGAUGCCGGUUCGAUGGCCCCUCUGGAGCAGUUUAACCCCCACAGCAGCGGACACCCGGUGAACCAGGCCUGCUGGAGCUCCAACAAUCAUUACCUGGUGAGUGCCAGCAGCAGCGGAGACAAGCUGGUGGUCAGCAGCCUGAAGUCCUCUCCAGUCCCAGUGGUGGAGCUGGGAGACGGGGUGAGACUCUACGCUGCUUCAUAUCAACAUGUGUU